This 489-nucleotide ribosomal RNA is filed under the name uncultured bacterium. RNAcentral describes it as "partial 16S ribosomal RNA". It matches the Rfam family "Bacterial small subunit ribosomal RNA", at positions 29 to 506 of the family's 1533-position model. The record is from RNAcentral.
AUUGAACGCUGGCGGCAGGCCUAACACAUGCAAGUCGAACGGUAACAGGAAACAGCUUGCUGUUUCGCUGACGAGUGGCGGACGGGUGAGUAAUGUCUGGGAAACUGCCUGAUGGAGGGGGAUAACUACUGGAAACGGUAGCUAAUACCGCAUAACGUCGCAAGACCAAAGAGGGGGACCCUCGGGCCUCUUGCCAUCGGAUGUGCCCAGAUGGGAUUAGCUUGUUGGUGGGGUAACGGCUCACCAAGGCGACGAUCCCUAGCUGGUCUGAGAGGAUGACCAGCCACACGGGAAGUGAGACACGGUCCCGACACCUACGGGGGGCAGGAGGGGGGAAUAUGGCAAACGGGGGGAAAGCCUGAUGCACCCAUGCCGGGUGUAUGAAGAAGGCCUUCGGGUUGUAAAUUAAUUUCGGCGGGGAGGAAGGGAGUAAAGUUAAAACCUUUGCUCAUUGGCGUUCCCCGCAAAAGAAGCACCGGCUGACCCCGG